UACAGAGGGGGCAAGCGUUAUUCGGAAUUAUUGGGCGUAAAGGGCGCGUAGGCGGCCUUGCAAGUGACGGGUGAAAUCCCUCGGCUUAACCGAGGAACUGCCUGUCAGACUGCAUGGCUUGAGACCGGGAGAGGUGAGUGGAAUUCCCAGUGUAGCGGUGAAAUGCGUAGAUAUCGGGAGGAACACCUAUGGCGAAGGCAGCUCGCUGGGACGUUACUGACGCUGAGACGCGAAAGCGUGGGGAGCAAACAGG
This 253-nucleotide ribosomal RNA is filed under the name uncultured bacterium. Its description in RNAcentral is "partial 16S ribosomal RNA". It matches the Rfam family "Bacterial small subunit ribosomal RNA", at positions 524 to 776 of the family's 1533-position model. The record is from RNAcentral.